Small nuclear RNA from Meriones unguiculatus (Mongolian gerbil), 100 nucleotides. NCBI's taxonomy places the organism in Eukaryota, Metazoa, Chordata, Mammalia, Rodentia, Muridae. The record is from Ensembl.
UUGCUUCAGCAACACAUAUACUGAAAUUUGAACAACACAGAGAUUAACAUGGCCCCUGUACAAGGAUGAUAUGUGAAAUCAUGAAUUAUUCCAUAUUUAC